GCCGCCUUAGCUCAGUUGGUAGAGCAUCGCAUUCGUAAUGCGGGGGCCGUAGGUUCGAAUCCUAUAGGCGGCACCA
RNAcentral lists this transfer RNA (76 nucleotides) under Sphingorhabdus arenilitoris. RNAcentral's name for it is "tRNA-Thr". It matches the Rfam family "tRNA". From Rfam's summary of the family: Transfer RNA (tRNA) molecules are approximately 80 nucleotides in length. Their secondary structure includes four short double-helical elements and three loops (D, anti-codon, and T loops). Further hydrogen bonds mediate the characteristic L-shaped molecular structure. tRNAs have two regions of fundamental functional importance: the anti-codon, which is responsible for specific mRNA codon recognition, and the 3' end, to which the tRNAs corresponding amino acid is attached (by aminoacyl-tRNA synthetases). tRNAs cope with the degeneracy of the genetic code in two manners: having more than one tRNA (with a specific anti-codon) for a particular amino acid; and 'wobble' base-pairing, i.e. permitting non-standard base-pairing at the 3rd anti-codon position. The record is from RNAcentral. Lineage: Bacteria; Pseudomonadati; Pseudomonadota; Alphaproteobacteria; Sphingomonadales; Sphingorhabdaceae. RNAcentral also lists the same sequence under 2 other names.